CUCCAAUAGCGUAUAUUUAAGUUGUUGCAGUUAAAAAGCUCGUAGUUGGAUUUCGGGUGGGUUGUAGCGGUCAGCCUUUGGUGAGUACUGCUACGGCCACCUUUCUGCCGGGGACGUGCUCCUGGGCUUAACUGUCCGGGACACGGAAUCGGCGAGGUUACUUUGAGUAAUUAGAGUGUUCAAGCAAGCCUACGCUCUGA
RNAcentral lists this ribosomal RNA (200 nucleotides) under uncultured eukaryote. Its description in RNAcentral is "partial 18S ribosomal RNA". It matches the Rfam family "Eukaryotic small subunit ribosomal RNA", at positions 589 to 798 of the family's 1831-position model. The record is from RNAcentral.